GCAGUUGCAGGUUUCUGGCCAUCAAUGGUGUUGUCUGCCCUACCUCCGAUGUUCCUCCGGUCUCUUCCUUCCUCGAAAACCAUCCAGGUGCCUAUACGACUUCUCGAACGCACAACAAUGCGUCAUGUUUAUUAUUUUGGCAGAGACACUUGUGCAAACUUGCAGAUUCCGCAAGAAUUCUCUAUGAAUCGAGACUAGAGCUCCUGUUUGGGCCAUAAAUUACUAAAUUCCCCAAGCCACUGUUAUCGUCAUCAUCGUUUUCUUCAUUAUGGGAAUCCAAAAUUCCGACGCUUGUCAAUGGCAUUGAAAGAAAGGAUGAACGAAGAAGAACUGGCGGUCACCACUCUUGUGAGCGGGAAUCCAAACAAAUGCAAUGUAGAUGAGGUUGAUGGGGAAGAGAGGGCUCUUAGGGUUCUUGAUGUGUACGUACAUGUAGUAAUUUACAUUCCGCCUACAUUUGGUGGUAGAGAAAACGGUGCUCGAUUGGCCGUCGUUGGUCGUGGAAGGGACGUAGCCAGAGCGAAGUUUUCAGACUGGGUAAAGCUUAGAAAGCGUUUGGAGAAGCUGCGACCUCCUUUGGUUAUCGAGCUUUUGUAGUCAAAUGAUGGUGACCGGAUACUAGAGGGAUGCAUCACGAACCUCUUCGUUGUGUGUCGCAAGGUGGGU
Telopea speciosissima is the source of this 666-nucleotide long non-coding RNA. RefSeq lists it as uncharacterized. The transcript has 3 exons. The record is from RefSeq and is a predicted model, not a curated record. Lineage: Eukaryota; Viridiplantae; Streptophyta; Magnoliopsida; Proteales; Proteaceae.